GAUGAACGCUGGCGGCGUGCUUAACACAUGCAAGUCGAACGAAGCACUUUAUUUGAUUUCCUUCGGGACUGAUUAUUUUGUGACUGAGUGGCGGACGGGUGAGUAACGCGUGGGUAACCUGCCUUGUACAGGGGGAUAACAGUUGGAAACGGCUGCUAAUACCGCAUAAGCGCACAGCAUCGCAUGAUGCAGUGUGAAAAACUCCGGUGGUAUAAGAUGGACCCGCGUUGGAUUAGCUAGUGGGUGAGGUAACGGCCCACCAAGGCGACGAUCCAUAGCCGACCUGAGAGGGUGAGCGGCCACAUUGGGACUGAGACACGGCCCAAACUCCUACGGGAGGCAGCAGUGGGGAAUAUUGCACAAUGGGCGAAAGCCUGAUGCAGCGACGCCGCGUGAGCGAAGAAGUAUUUCGGGAUGUAAAGCUCUAUCAGCAGGGAAGAUAAUGACGGUACCUGACGAAGAAGCACCGGCUAAAUACGUG
RNAcentral lists this ribosomal RNA (481 nucleotides) under uncultured bacterium. RNAcentral describes it as "partial 16S ribosomal RNA". It matches the Rfam family "Bacterial small subunit ribosomal RNA", at positions 28 to 507 of the family's 1533-position model. The record is from RNAcentral.